CCUACGGGAGGCAGCAGUGGGGAAUAUUGCACAAUGGGCGCAAGCCUGAUGCAGCCAUGCCGCGUGUAUGAAGAAGGCCUUCGGGUUGUAAAGUACUUUCAGCGGGGAGGAAGGUGUGAGGUUAAUAACCUCAUUGACGUUACCCGCAGAAGAAGCACCGGCUAACUCCGUGCCAGCAGCCGCGGUAAU
RNAcentral lists this ribosomal RNA (189 nucleotides) under uncultured bacterium. RNAcentral's name for it is "partial 16S ribosomal RNA". It matches the Rfam family "Bacterial small subunit ribosomal RNA", at positions 338 to 524 of the family's 1533-position model. The record is from RNAcentral.